UGGGGAAUAUUGGACAAUGGGGGCAACCCUGAUCCAGCCAUGCCGCGUGAGUGAUGAAGGCCUUCGGGUUGUAAAGCUCCUUUGGCGGGGACGAUGAUGACGGUACCCGCAGAAUAAGCCCCGGCUAACUUCGUGCCAGCAGCCGCGGUAAGACGAAGGGGGCUAGCGUUGUUCGGAAUUACUGGGCGUAAAGCGAGUGUAGGUGGUUGUCAUAGUCAGGUGUGAAAGCCUUGAGCUCAACUCAAGAAAUGCACUUGAUACUGGGCGACUAGAGGACCGGAGAGGAUAGUGGAAUUCCCAGUGUAGUGGUGAAAUACGUAGAGAUUGGGAAGAACACCAGUGGCGAAGGCGGCUAUCUGGACGGUUACUGACACUAAGACUCGAAAGCGUGGGGAGCAAACAGG
RNAcentral lists this ribosomal RNA (404 nucleotides) under uncultured prokaryote. RNAcentral's name for it is "bacterial SSU rRNA". It matches the Rfam family "Bacterial small subunit ribosomal RNA", at positions 355 to 776 of the family's 1533-position model. RNAcentral also lists the same sequence under 1 other name. The record is from RNAcentral.